CAAACUUCUUCUGUCAUAAACUACAGAUGUCCAGAAGUACCUUAUUGUUUCAAUAUUUUGCUUCAAAUUCGUGGUUAACCAUAAGUUAAUGGCAUCUGUUCUUUCUUCCUUCCUUCCUUCCUUCCUUCCUUCCUUCCUUCCUUCCUCCCUCCCUCCCUCCCUCCCUCCCUCCCUUCCUCCCUUCCUUCCUUCCUCCCUCCCUCCCUUCCUCCCUUCCUUCCUAUUUAACUGUUUUCCAUUAAUUCAAGAUGUAUUUGAAGCACCUGCAGUAUCUCCUGGCAUACUGUGAAAAAUGUUGCUAUCUCUGGGUGGAUGAGACAGUCCUGGGAGCAGGGCUUUCUGUGCAGGUGUGGAGUUUGCUCACUCCCUGCCAGCAAUCCUGUCCCAGCUCAGACAGCCCAGCCUGCCUGCCUCUCCAUCCAUGCAGUAUGCAUACACAUACGCGCACCUUCCUGCCCGCAUCCAGCUCUCCUGUCAGAGGAUUCUGUCUUUGAACUGAACAAAGCCCUCACAAGCCAUGCUAUGAGUUGAGUCGCUUACCUCUGUCUCGGGAGGAGUUUAUCUCCCUUGACAAGGUUUUGUCUGGUGUUAGCAGCGGGGCUGAUGACAGGCUGUGCAUGCAGCAGCAUGUGACCCCGGCUCCUGGCCUCGGCGCAGGCAGUCGUCAGAGCUGUCACGCAGUCAGAACAAGUUAAUUCAAUGCGUGAAGGGCGAGGUGCGAGCUGUAAUAAUAUCAGGCCUCUGGAGAGGGUGCUGUCAUACAGCGUGUACUGGCGGCUGCCCCAGCU
This 788-nucleotide long non-coding RNA is filed under the name Anas platyrhynchos platyrhynchos (common mallard). Its description in RNAcentral is "lncRNA (ENSAPLG00000027021.1)". The record is from RNAcentral. Lineage: Eukaryota; Metazoa; Chordata; Aves; Anseriformes; Anatidae.